This is a long non-coding RNA of Arvicola amphibius (Eurasian water vole), 4792 nucleotides long. RefSeq lists it as uncharacterized. NCBI's taxonomy places the organism in Eukaryota, Metazoa, Chordata, Mammalia, Rodentia, Cricetidae. The transcript has 5 exons. The record is from RefSeq and is a predicted model, not a curated record.
UUAUCAGAAAAGUUAAUGAGGUUUACCUCUUCGGAAGUUGGAGAGAAUAGUAAACAGUCAUGCUGUCACUGGUGCUGGAGUCUGUGGAGAACUGUCACACUAAGCAAACAUUUCUUCUCUCAGGAACAGGAUGCUUGACGGCUUGGGCAGACAGAAGCAGCCAGGGGAAAGAAUAACAUGUCUUGUCAUCCUGGGCAGCUCUGCGUUGCUUUAUCUGAGCUUGUGAAACCGUUCUGAACGUGAGUGGUCAGAAUCAAGUCAUGUUCUCGCCCGUCAUCACACUUGGCACGUUUGCCUUCCGGACAAACCCAGUGGACAUUGUGCAGACAUUCUCCAGGUAAUCUCAGGAAGACUGAAGUCUUUAGAAGGCCACUCUUCACAUUUAGGGAUGCUUAGAUAUUUGUGGCCGCCUGCAGCAACUCUACUGUCCUGUCGAAAAGAACCCCAAAGGCAGGCCAGUACAGAUGCCAGAGUACUAACACUGCCAAGGUCAGAAAGCCACUGCUAAAAGCUGGAGAAGUCUUCAUCUGAAGUUGUGAAGAGAGACAGGCUCCAGUCAGGGCUGACAUUUCACAUUCUGACUGUUGUUGAACAACUUUUCACAAGCCAACCCUGACUUUCUGCAAAGGAAACGUGAACGUCAGAAUGAUCAGCAUAGAGAUGCACAGUUUUCAGGAAAGGAAUUACUGCAUUUCCAGGUAAUGCCAUCUCAGUGAUGUCACAGAAAAGUAGACUGCCCGAGUGUCAGCAAAGGUAAUUGUAACAGGUCAGGUUUGGCAGGUGUCCAGUUUUAUGGAAGUUUGUUGUUGGUAACACAGAAGGAGGACAUAGAAGUGACAUUUCUGUUUUCCCACACCACAAGGGGGGUUUGUGCUACAGUGACUGAACCCAGGGUGAACGUCCUGGGUUCCAAGAAGAAUUUUUCAAAAUUAGCUGGGAAAGAUAUUUUCCCCACAUCAAUCCAGCUCGGCACACGUUUUGUUAGUGACAUGUACCUUCCCACACAAAGCAAUGACGUGCUCCUAAUGCUAACAACAUAGCUUAAAAUAAGUAAAAUAAAAUUAUGCACUUUCAUAAAACUUGGUAAAAAAAUGGCAUUCAAGAGCAGGGUGGUGGUGGUGCACACCUUUAAUCCUAGCACUCAGGAGGCAGAGGCAGGUGGAUCUCUGUGAGUUCGAGGCCAGCCUGGUCUACAAGAGCUAGUUCUAGGACAGGCUGCAAAAGCUACAGAGAAACCCUGUCUCUAUAAAACAAAAACAAACAAACAAACAAAAAUAAUUCAAAUUAUAUAGCACACACUUUGACAGGUCUCUUCAGACCCUCAGCCUUCUAUGUCUGGUCUGUUUUCUCAACUUUGUUAUGAUCUGCUGUCCUUCCUAGUCUGUCACCUGGGUACCCUGUCCCUUUAAGAGACAAACUCUGUCCACUCCCAACCCCCACCUCCUUCUGCCCAGGCUAGUGGAUCUCCUACCUCCUCUUUAGCGUCCCCCUUCUUCUGGAGAGGCAGCUUCUGCCUCUCUCCUCCCUCCCCUUCCCCUCUUCCAUUUCCCUUUCCCCUCCAUAACCGACUAAAUAAACUCUAUACCCAAACUCUCACUGUUUCUUGCUGAGGCCUCAGGUCACUUGCCAGGGGACCCAUCGAGGUCUUAGGUGACCUGCUGCUGCCCCUCGUGGGACUGGUCUCCCACCAUCUCUUUAUAAAUGAUAACAUUGGUGUGUGACUCAGCCAGGCUCUCUCCACGUUCCUUCCCACCCACAGGCAGGCUGGUUGAAGACACAUGGGGACCCUGAACUCGGACCACUUUCCAACAUCCCAAGCCUGCUCCAUCGCUUCAAAUGAUUUCUUAACCAAAAGGAUCUUCUGGAAACUGGCAGACCCUGCUUCUAACAGCAGAAGACAAAUACAGUCCAGAUGCCCUUGCCUUCAAUGACCACCGAGGAACUUGAGGAGGAGCUCUAGGUAGCCAAUAGAGGCAUUUUUAACAUGGAUCACACAUGAGGAAGACAUCAGCAUUGCUGAGGUGUAAUGUUACAGUCAUGGUGACUUCUAACAUGGAUCACACACGAGAAAAACAUCAUCAGCAUUGCUGAGGUGUAAUGUUACAGACACGGUGACUUCUAACAUGGAUCACACACGAGGAAGACAUCAGCAUUGCUGAGGUGUAAUGUUACAGUCAUGGUGACUUACGGGGUAGACAUUACCUCAAGUCCUCCAGGUCUCAGGAAGGUGGAACUGCACAUGUGGUCACAAUGGAAACCCCUAGAAAAGAGUAUUGUUUAGUGCUUCCAGAAAAGGUUUGCUGCCUGAGGGCAGAUGCACAGAAAAUUCAAACAAUGAACCUGCAAUUCUUAAACCAUUUAUCUCUGAAAGGAAAAUAAAAGCUAAUAGUUUCUUUGCUACCAAGUGUUAGUCAUGUGGCCUUCACCAAAGUUCCGCCCCCCAUCCUUAGUGGUUUACUGUAGUCAUUCAAAUGUAGAUUUAUUAUGGCAAGGGGCUGAAUUCCAUACCAAAUAAAAUGUACUGGUCUGUUUUAUUAUUUGGAGUAUGGGGAAAGAAAAGGCAGUUCUCUGACUGUUACAGUAAAAAGGCGUUGGCCCCAGUGACAUUUCGGAGCUUGAGUGUUCAUAUUGCCCUUGAUUUCUGCCCCCUGGUAUGGGGUAAAGAUGUCAAUUCCAUGUUGAACCUGGGUGGUCCGGUAUCCUGGUAGCAAUGGUGUGAGGGCCGCUUCUGCAAGUUUGCAAACAACAUGGCUUCAAUAACACCUAUCAGCAUGGGUGUGAAGCAUUUUUCCUGCCUCUCCAUCCUCUUCCUCUUCUUCCUUGGCAGGUCUCACUCUGUUGUCCAGGUUGCCUUUGAACUCUGAGUUCAGCUGAUCUUCCUGCCUCAGCCUCCCUAGCUGUAGGAUAGGUAAUGAGAUUUCAGCAGCACAGCUUAGGUAAUGAGAUUUCAGCAAGCAUAGCUUCAGUAUUGUUCAGGAGAGCAUACAAAUUACUCUUCUCUUGUUUUCUAUAACAUUCCUGAUCCUUGCUUUUCUUCAUUCCUAUUGGUUUACAGUAGGAUCAACCUUAUUAAUUAGAGAAGCCAAUGUUUAAGCAUUUAUGGUGUUAUUUAGAGUUACCUGGAGCCUGUUAGACUACUGGGUCUUUACCCUAGUGUUUAGAAUCUGAGAAGUCUGAGUUGGGUGUACAAUGUGAAACCUGAGAGCCAUCUGAGAUGCUUUCAAUAAUACUGAUGCCCAUGCUCAGCCAAGACUAAUUAAACAAGCAGUCUGGAAGUGAGGUGUAUAUCCAUGUCCUAGGCUGUUACAGCAGAGUGGCACAAUCAAGGUGGCCUAUACAGUAGAAUGCAUCUUUCCAUACUGUAAAGUCAGAAGUCUUAAAUCAAGGUGUCCGUGGGCUCAUGAGUCAUCCAAGGCCUCAGGGAACGUAGUGCUUCUAGCUCGGAGCUAUUGCCACCAGUCUUUGGCAUUAUUUGAUUUCAUAAACAUCUAACUCCUAUAUCUAGCCUCACAUGUCUCUCCUGUCCAUUUGAUGCUAUGUCUGUGUGUCUUCUUUUCAUAAGGACAUUGAAUUAGAUUUAUCUUCUUAUUUCACUAUGGCCUCCUCCUUGACUCUCAGCUUCAUAUGUAAAACCUUUUCCUGGCUGACAUCACAUUCUGCGAUUCCAGGUGGACGUGAACUUGGUCAGAGGCAGAAAGGGAAAGUCUUCCAGCAGCGCCUGCCUCCCACCCGCCAUGGCAGAAUUCCUGUGUUGUGCAGCUUCCAUGAAGAAUCUGGCACGGAACACCAAAGGGCAAGCCCUGUGUCUUCGGCUGCCUCAUAGUCUUCCCAGCAGACAGAGAAGCACACCCCCAACCAUCUUAAAAGCUUGUUAAAGCUAAGUGCAGAUCCCAGGAUUUUAAAGUGUUUAUCUGUGAGGCUCAUUCAGUCCUAAAUUAAAGACCUUGUCCUCAAGCAACUGUAGAUACUGAAGGUAUUUCUUCGUAGGAAGACCCGAUUUCUGUUCCCUAGAGCUUUUUAUAGGGAACAUACCUAUAAAGAGGCCAGAUUAUACACUACAGAAAGCUUUCAGUGAUAAGAAACAAUGUUUUUGAAUGUCCCAUUAUGAACUAGAAAUAAUAUUUUCACUGAAACAAAAAUGCUAAAUUACGAAAGUACCUCCCUAGGGUUUUGAAUCUCGAGCAGUCUAAAUGACUGUUUCCGUGAAUGAAGACCACAGAGGCAUCUCUUUACAAUGCCUUUGAUACAAAGCAGGAGGCAGGAUGCCCACUGUCUGUCUAGACUUGGAGCUGGAGAGGCUUCUAUUGAUGGGGUCCCGGGGCGAGGGGGAACUGACCAGUAGACAAUAGGGCCAAGAACGUGGUCACAGAUGGGACCCUGUGACCCAGAUUACAAGUCAAUCAGAAUUCAGAGGAAGUGAGGUUCCCUUUGGACAUGGUGGGUUUUGAGGCUCACAAUCAGAAUUGUCUAAUGGGUUUAUUCUGACUCUGUUAGGCUUAUAUUGGGUGUUGAGGUUAGCAUUAGUGGGGUUCUAUGACUGAUCUGUGACCCCUGUAGUAGAACUGCAUGUAGAGAUGUGUAUACUCAUCUCAGAAAUAGGAGUCCUGGAUUCUGUUCUCAACUCCACUUGAAGUGACCUUGGAGUUUCCUUGCAGUUUUUAAUUGUGCUGACAGAAAAGUUAUUGAUGCAGUUAGUGAAGGGGAGAACGGGGGGAGCUCGGAGGAAUGGGGUGCUUGGGAUAUAGGAAGGGUGGAUAUGGGAGCAGGGAAGCAUAUAUCUUAAUUUAAGGAG